CUGUGUUAGGAUGGUCUCGAUCUCCUGACCUCGUGUUCCGCCUGACUCGGCCUCCCAAAGUGCUGGGAUUACAGGCGUGAGCCACCGCGCCCAGCAAUAUACUAUUUUUUAUAACUUUAUUGUUUCCUCCCAUAUUGUAAAAUUGACUUUUCCAAAUGUUGCAAAAGGGGGAAAUAGUUCAUUUAUGUAGGUAGUACACACACUUUAUAUGUUUAAAUACUUACAAGUAUAGUGAAUUUAAGAUCAAAGACCUGGUUUCAAAUACAGGCAACACUACAUAGUAAUUUGGAAACUGAAAAAGUCAUCCAGUUUCUAUAAGCUUCCUUUUGCUUGUAAAAAACAGAAUGAGCGGUCUUUUAGGUUCACUUUUCAGCAUCCUUGUACAUGAGCUGAAGUGCACAAUGGCACAUUUAGGUUAUUCAAGCAUUGUGAUAUUAAGAAGGUUCCUGGUGCUUUGAUGAGCUUUACAUCCUAACUGAGCUCCCAAAAAUUCUAAGAUGAAAGUUACAGACAUUAUAUAAUUUUUUUGUGUGUCAUAGUCUUGGGGAUUGUUCAUGAAGAAAUAAGACUGUGUCAUCUGUAUGUGAAAUUGAUACAACUUACUUUGAAGCAUUCUCCCAGCAAUCCUUAUGUGCCCCAUGUGAGCACUUUUCCCAGACAGGCCCUGAUUCUCCCUAUGAGUGCUCACAGCCUGCUCCUCUCCCCACAUGUCACAUCCCUUUCCUCUGCCACGCCAUGCCCAUCUCUGUUCUUCAGAGCUACGUUAGAUGCCACCCUCUCCAAGAAUUCUUCCCAAGCAUCUCCCAGUUGGAAUAUGUUCACCCACCACUGCACGCUGCACAUUGAUGUCUUCACCUGCGAUUUCUGUGGUCUGUCUGUGUAGUCUCUACCACUUGAUGAGCUCCGGGGCCCAGGACCAUAUCUGAGUUCCGUUUACUUAAUGGAAGCCUAAGUGUUCAAAAUUCAACCACAAAACUAAAGUUGUCACCAAGGAGGUUUGCUUUUGUUUUUAUACCUACAAUAGGCUUAUGUAGACAUGAGGAAGAUUGGCAGUAGCCGGGGAAUGGUUUCUGCAUACCCUCGACAGCUGGAGUCAUUAAUCCGCUUAGCAGAAGCCCAUGCUAAAGUAAGAUUGUCUAACAAAGUUGAAGCCAUUGAUGUGGAAGAGGCCAAACGCCUCCAUCGGGAAGCUCUGAAGCAGUCUGCAACUGAUCCCCGGACUGGCAUCGUGGACAUAUCUAUUCUUACUACAGGGAUGAGUGCCACCUCUCGUAAACGGAAAGAAGAAUUAGCUGAAGCAUUGAAAAAGCUUAUUUUAUCUAAG
RNAcentral lists this small RNA (1324 nucleotides) under Pongo abelii (Sumatran orangutan). RNAcentral's name for it is "retained intron". The record is from RNAcentral. Lineage: Eukaryota; Metazoa; Chordata; Mammalia; Primates; Hominidae.